UAGAUGCGAGAGUAGAGCAUAUCAAUAAGCGGAGGAAAAGAAACUAACAAGGAUUCCCUUAGUAACGGCGAGUGAAGCGGGAAGAGCUCAAAUUUGAAAUCUUCAAGGUUCUACCUUGGCGAAUUGUAGUUUAUAGAAGUGUUUUCUGUUAGUAGAGUGGCAAAAGUUCUUUGGAAUAGGACAUCAUAGAGGGUGAGAAUCCCGUAUUUGGUCAUUCUUUCUAGCUUUGUGAUACACUUUCAAAGAGUCGGAUUGUUUGGGAAUGCAGUCCAAAAUGGGUGGUAAAUUUCAUCUAAAGCUAAAUAUUGGCGAGAGACCGAUAGCGAACAAGUACCGUGAGGGAAAGAUGAAAAGAACUUUGAAAAGAGAGUUAAACAGUACGUGAAAUUGUCAAAAGGGAAGCGUUUGACACCAGUGUUGUUUUUCCGAAAAUCAAUUAAAAAUUGAUUCAUGCUAGGUUGUAUUGACCUCAUCAGCUUGCAAUUUAGUUUUGGGUCUCUUUUUGAUGCACUUUUCGGUUAACAAGUCAACAUCAAUUUCCUUUGCUGUAAAAAGGUAAGAGGAAGGUGGCUUCAAUUUCGGUUGAAGUGUUUAUAGUCUUUUAUCUCUGCAGUCGGGGAGAUUGAGGUCUGCAGCGUAGAUCCUUCGGGGCUAGAUACAUUUAUGCUAAGUUAUAGCUUUUCAUAGACAACUUGUUGACUAUGUUUAGUCAUGUAGCUUACUCGUAAGUGCUAUUUUACCUACGCUUAGGAUGUUGACACACGCGCGUGCUCG
This 774-nucleotide ribosomal RNA is filed under the name uncultured Neocallimastigales. RNAcentral's name for it is "partial large subunit ribosomal RNA". It matches the Rfam family "Eukaryotic large subunit ribosomal RNA", at positions 22 to 643 of the family's 3401-position model. Lineage: Eukaryota; Fungi; Neocallimastigomycota; Neocallimastigomycetes; Neocallimastigales. The record is from RNAcentral.